UGGGGCGGUCGCCUCCUAAAAGGUAACGGAGGCGCUCAAAGGUUCCCUCAGAAUGGUUGGAAAUCAUUCAUAGAGUGUAAAGGCAUAAGGGAGCUUGACUGCGAGACCUACAAGUCGAGCAGGGUCGAAAGACGGACUUAGUGAUCCGGUGGUUCCGCAUGGAAGGGCCAUCGCUCAACGGAUAAAAGCUACCCCGGGGAUAACAGGCUUAUCUCCCCCAAGAGUUCACAUCGACGGGGAGGUUUGGCACCUCGAUGUCGGCUCAUCGCAUCCUGGGGCUGUAGUCGGUCCCAAGGGUUGGGCUGUUCGCCCAUUAAAGCGGUACGCGAGCUGGGUUCAGAACGUCGUGAGACAGUUCGGUCCCUAUCCGUCGUGGGCGUAGGAAAUUUGAGAGGAGCUGUCCUUAGUACGAGAGGACCGGGAUGGACAUACCUCUGGUGUACCAGUUGUCGUGCCAACGGCAUAGCUGGGUAGCUAUGUGUGGACGGGAUAAGUGCUGAAAGCAUCUAAGCAUGAAGCCCCCCUCAAGAUGAGAUUUCCCAACUUCGGUUAUAAGAUCCCUCAAAGAUGAUGAGGUUAAUAGGUUCGAGGUGGAAGCAUGGUGACAUGUGGAGCUGA
Molecule: ribosomal RNA, 618 nt
Filed under: Staphylococcus aureus
Lineage: Bacteria; Bacillati; Bacillota; Bacilli; Caryophanales; Staphylococcaceae
Description: partial 23S ribosomal RNA
Rfam family: Bacterial large subunit ribosomal RNA
Source: RNAcentral